RNAcentral lists this ribosomal RNA (492 nucleotides) under uncultured bacterium. RNAcentral describes it as "partial 16S ribosomal RNA". It matches the Rfam family "Bacterial small subunit ribosomal RNA", at positions 29 to 507 of the family's 1533-position model. The record is from RNAcentral.
AGUGAACGCUGGCGGUAGGCCUAACACAUGCAAGUCGAACGGUAGCACAAUAAGAGCUUGCUCUUACGGGUGGCGAGUGGCGGACGGGUGAGGAAUACAUCGGAAUCUACUUUUUCGUGGGGGAUAACGUAGGGAAACUUACGCUAAUACCGCAUACGACCUACGGGUGAAAGCAGGGGAUCUUCGGACCUUGCGCGAUUGAAUGAGCCGAUGUCGGAUUAGCUAGUUGGCGGGGUAAAGGCCCACCAAGGCGACGAUCCGUAGCUGGUCUGAGAGGAUGAUCAGCCACACUGGAACUGAGACACGGUCCAGACUCCUACGGGAGGCAGCAGUGGGGAAUAUUGGACAAUGGGCGCAAGCCUGAUCCAGCCAUACCGCGUGGGUGAAGAAGGCCUUCGGGUUGUAAAGCCCUUUUGUUGGGAAAGAAAAGCAGCAGGUUAAUACCCCGCUGUUCUGACGGUACCCAAAGAAUAAGCACCGGCUAACUUCGUG